Molecule: RNA transcript, 1292 nt
Organism: Cucumis melo (muskmelon)
Lineage: Eukaryota; Viridiplantae; Streptophyta; Magnoliopsida; Cucurbitales; Cucurbitaceae
Exons: 4
Source: RefSeq, a predicted model, not a curated record
UUUGUCAGUUUAAGAACUGGCUAACAAUGAAAUACAUCAUGUCGUAUUAAGAUGAAUCACAACUACUUCAAGUUCCACCUGAAAAGUAUUUCUUCAUUGAGCAAAAUCAUUAGGAAGAGUUUGUAAGGUCAAGGUUAUCCGAGACCUCUCAGGUAUGAAUAACUUUUAUACAUCAAAAUCAUUCGAAAGAAUAUCUGCUACUUUCUCAUCAACAAAUACAUUUAGAUAUAGGAAAAAAGACAGUUGCAACAAGAUAGACGAUCGAAGAACAAAUACAAUCAUAGAAUCUCAAGGAAAGAGUAUGCUAAUUUUACGGAGGAAAUGGUACCAUAACCCAUUUCUUAGUCCGGAGUAUAGCGGAUGAUCUCUAGUGGUGGUUUCGGGUGUGUGGUCGUGAGAAGAUUUGGAGCAUCAGGGAGCUUUAAAGAAGGAGGGUUCAAAUGAUGUUGAUCUUGAUCAAGCUAAAAUGUGGAAGAAAGCUCGAGUUAACAAACAAGGACAGUACGACAACGAUGACGUUCAACAAGUCGUCCAUAAAAUAGGUGAGAUAUCAAUGAAUACAAAUUCAUCAUCUGUCAAUAGAUACUACUCGAAUGAUGUGCUAACCCAAGCAUUGGGUACAAAGGAGCACAAUGGUCAUGUACGUGGGGUUGUUGGAUACAUUACUCUGAUAACGUACUUUCAUUCAGUUAAGAAAACAUCAAAAGAUGAGGCGAACAUUCUAGUUAAGAAUGAAGAACUUCGAAGGCGAGUUAGCGAAUUAGAGGCACAAAUUCGCUCAAACUUGUCUACACCAUUGUAUGCACACAGGAGUUGUUCAAGUUCAUUAAUGUUAGAGGGGAUUGAAAAGAAGAGUAAGAGAGUAAAAGUGGAAUCGAUGAAUAAACCAAAAGAGAAUGAAAAGAAAGGGAAGGAGGUGGUGUAAAUGAGUGAACCAGAGUUUGACGUCCUCAAGCUACGUAAUCCACUAUUAAAUUGGAAUGUCUAAUAUGUACGUCUUACUGAAUGUGGAUGUUCUUGAAUUAGGAGAGAGGCUUAAUAAAAAUACCUACGGAAAGAGAAGUUGUAUGUGAGUCGACAUCAACUUUGCCAUUAGCGUUGAAGUCGAUUCUCAGAUACGCUGAGAAAGUAAUGGAGAAAGAUUCUAGCAUCAUUUUUCCACUACUCGCUGACAUUUUUGGUAUUAAUCGAAAGAGUUUUGUGCUUCGAGAGGAUGUCAUUGAUCUUUGUAACAUGAACGAAGUAAAAACGUUUACAUUAGUGGUCUAUAUGAUGUAAGUCCAUUUCAUUUC